GUGGGGAAUUGUUCGCAAUGGGCGCAAGCCUGACGACGCAACGCCGCGUGGAGGAUGAAGAUCUUCGGGUCGUAAACUCCUUUCGAUCGAGACGAACGGCCUCCGGAUUAACACACCGGAGGAGUGACGGUACCGAGAGAAGAAGCCCCGGCUAACUCCGUGCCAGCAGCCGCGGUAAUACGGGGGGGGCAAGCGUUGUUCGGAAUUACUGGGCGUAAAGGGCUCGUAGGCGGCCAACUAAGUCAGACGUGAAAUCCCUCGGCUUAACCGGGGAACUGCGUCUGAUACUGGAUGGCUUGAGUGUGGGAGAGGGAUGCGGAAUUCCAGGUGUAGCGGUGAAAUGCGUAGAUAUCUGGAGGAACACCGGUGGCGAAGGCGGCAUCCUGGACUACUACUGACGCUGAGGAGCGAAAGCCAGGGGAGCAAACGGGAUUAGAAACCCUUGUAGUCC
Molecule: ribosomal RNA, 451 nt
Filed under: uncultured bacterium
Lineage: Bacteria
Description: bacterial SSU rRNA
Rfam family: Bacterial small subunit ribosomal RNA
Source: RNAcentral